AGGACGAACGCUGGCGGCGUGCUUAACACAUGCAAGUCGAGCGGAAAGGCCCUUCGGGGUACUCGAGCGGCGAACGGGUGAGUAACACGUGAGUAACCUGCCCCUAGCUCUGGGAUAGCUCCGGGAAACCGGGAUUAAUACCAGAUACGACCACUUUAGACAUCUGUCGUGGUGGAAAGGAUUCCGGCUAGGGAUGGGCUCGCGGCCUAUCAGCUUGUUGGUGGGGUAACGGCCUACCAAGGCGACGACGGUAGCCGGCCUGAGAGGGCGACCGGCCGACACUGGGACUGAGACACGGCCCAGACUCCUACGGGAGGCAGCAGUGGGGAAUAUUGCGCAAUGGGCGAAAGCCUGACGCAGCGACGCCGCGUGGGGGAUGAAGGCCUUCGGGUUGUAAACCCCUUUCAGCAGGGACGAAGCGAAAGUGACGGUACCUGCAGAAGAAGCGCCGGCUAACUACGCGCCAGCAGCCGC
Molecule: ribosomal RNA, 474 nt
Filed under: uncultured bacterium
Lineage: Bacteria
Description: SSU rRNA
Rfam family: Bacterial small subunit ribosomal RNA
Source: RNAcentral